CAACACCCAGAUCAGUUCCGCCACGUAACCAACGUCUCCUUCCUUCCGAAGUAAAAGCAGGCAGAGGAAAUCUUCCCCCCUCCCUCUCUCUCCCUCCCUCGUCGCUGCUCCUCUCCAAAUCCCCUGAACCCCGCGCGCACGCUCCCCGGAGGAGACAUGUCGUACGCCUACCUCUUCAAGUACAUCAUCAUCGGCGACACAGGUGUCGGCAAGUCGUGCCUGCUGCUGCAGUUCACCGACAAACGCUUCCAGCCCGUCCAUGACCUCACCAUCGGCGUCGAGUUCGGCGCCCGGAUGAUCACCGUCGACAACAAGCCCAUCAAGCUCCAGAUUUGGGACACGGCAGGCCAAGAAUCAUUCAGAUCGAUAACUAGAUCAUACUACAGGGGAGCCGCUGGUGCUCUUUUGGUUUACGACAUCACCAGGAGGGAAACGUUUAAUCAUCUUGCAAGCUGGCUGGAAGAUGCAAGGCAACACGCAAAUGCUAACAUGACGAUCAUGCUAGUUGGAAACAAGUGUGACCUAUCUCAUAGACGUGCUGUGAGCUUCGAGGAAGGUGAGCAGUUCGCCAAGGAGAAUGGUCUCAUCUUCAUGGAGGCAUCUGCAAAAACUGCACAAAACGUCGAGGAGGGCUUUGUCAAGACUGCUGGAGCAAUAUAUAAGAAAAUUCAGGAUGGUGUCUUUGAUGUAUCUAAUGAGUCGUAUGGAAUCAAAGUUGGCUAUGCAGUUCCUGGCCAAGCUGGAGGUGGUGGUGCCUCAUCUUCCCAAGGUGGCAGCUGCUGCGGUUAAUGGAACGUUCCAUGAUGAAUGAUGUACAGAAUUGCAUGGCAUGUGUUACAAUACCUGUUGCAUUAUUUCGAGUCGCCGAGUGAUUGUAACUCCAGGGUGCUUUGUUAUUUCACGCACCUAUGGAUUAUGUUCCAGUGAGCUAGUCAAAAUAGGUUCAGUUCAUUUCCUUAUACUGUACAAUCACUGUAAUCCAUCAGACGCUUCCAGUGGUGUCAUUUAGGAUUCACGAACUAUAUCCAUUUGCAUGUGUGAUUAAAUAAGAAUGUAUGAUUCAAAUUGUA
Hordeum vulgare subsp. vulgare (domesticated barley) is the source of this 1070-nucleotide RNA transcript. It is a transcript of the gene named ras-related protein Rab-2-A-like, with no coding region annotated. The transcript has 6 exons. Lineage: Eukaryota; Viridiplantae; Streptophyta; Magnoliopsida; Poales; Poaceae. The record is from RefSeq and is a predicted model, not a curated record.